GUCACCCGUUCCAGCAGCGCUGUGCACAGUCAGCCUACUGUAACACGAAGCAGAAGUGGGAGGCUCCUGUAUUUCUUCUCUUCUUGGACUGCGUGUGGCAGAUCCUUCGUCAGUUUCCCUGUUCUUUUGAAUUUAAUGAGAAUUUCCUCAUCAUGCUCUUUGAGCAUGCUUAUGCCUCACAGUUUGGAACAUUUCUGGGCAACAAUGAAAGUGAAAGUUUAUUACAUGAUAAAGAGUGUUCCAGAGUUUUAGAAUUAUUAUGAAGCCUGUUCAUUGUAUGUGGAUAUAGAUUAAAUAUGUAUUUACGUCAAGAUUCACAUUGAUUUUUCAUCUUUGACAAUCUGUAUUUUAUGUACAUGUAAGUUAUUUUCCCUGAA
This 377-nucleotide long non-coding RNA is filed under the name Pan troglodytes (chimpanzee). RNAcentral's name for it is "long non-coding RNA NONPTRT017344". The record is from RNAcentral. Lineage: Eukaryota; Metazoa; Chordata; Mammalia; Primates; Hominidae.